Molecule: unclassified non-coding RNA, 223 nt
Filed under: uncultured Rickettsia sp.
Lineage: Bacteria; Pseudomonadati; Pseudomonadota; Alphaproteobacteria; Rickettsiales; Rickettsiaceae
Description: sequence contains ITS2
Source: RNAcentral
AUUACAUAUGCAUAUAGUGUUAGUGCUAUAAUAGUGUAGUAUCUACUCACAAAGUUAUCAGGUUAAAUAGCUUUAAAAACUAAUAAAAAUGUUAUUGCAUAACUAGUGUUGUACGGUAGCCCUGCCCCGAUAAACAGCAAAAAUUAUUUUGCUGAGUAUCGUAGUAAAAGUUAAGAUAUAAAGUUAAGUUGUUUUUGAGUCGUGCAACAACAUUACAGCACGC